GAUGAACGCUGGCGGCGUGCCUAAUACAUGCAAGUCGAGCGAACGGACGAGAAGCUUGCUUCUCUGAUGUUAGCGGCGGACGGGUGAGUAACACGUGGAUAACCUACCUAUAAGACUGGGAUAACUUCGGGAAACCGGAGCUAAUACCGGAUGAUAUUUUGAACCGCAUGGUUCAAAAGUGAAAGACGGUCUUGCUGUCACUUAUAGAUGGAUCCGCGCUGCAUUAGCUAGUUGGUAAGGUAACGGCUUACCAAGGCAACGAUGCAUAGCCGACCUGAGAGGGUGAUCGGCCACACUGGAACUGAGACACGGUCCAGACUCCUACGGGAGGCAGCAGUAGGGAAUCUUCCGCAAUGGGCGAAAGCCUGACGGAGCAACGCCGCGUGAGUGAUGAAGGUCUACGGAUCGUAAAACUCUGUUAUUAGGGAAGAACAUAUGUGUAAGUAACUGUGCACAUCUUGACGGUACCUAAUCAGAAAGCCACGGCUAACUACGUG
RNAcentral lists this ribosomal RNA (497 nucleotides) under uncultured bacterium. RNAcentral's name for it is "partial 16S ribosomal RNA". It matches the Rfam family "Bacterial small subunit ribosomal RNA", at positions 28 to 507 of the family's 1533-position model. The record is from RNAcentral.